GUGCUUGCUUCAGCAGCACAUAUACCAAAAUUUGAACAAUACAGAGAAAAUUAGCAUGUCCCAUGCAAGAAUGACACACAAAUUCAUGAAGCAUUUCAUAUUUUU
This is a small nuclear RNA of Molossus molossus (Pallas's mastiff bat), 105 nucleotides long. NCBI's taxonomy places the organism in Eukaryota, Metazoa, Chordata, Mammalia, Chiroptera, Molossidae. The record is from RefSeq and is a predicted model, not a curated record.